RNAcentral lists this long non-coding RNA (495 nucleotides) under Homo sapiens (human). RNAcentral describes it as "non-protein coding lnc-ZSCAN2-5:15". The record is from RNAcentral. Lineage: Eukaryota; Metazoa; Chordata; Mammalia; Primates; Hominidae.
CAGGGGUGGCCAGGAGAUAGUGAGCAGCUCCCAGGAGGCAUGGAGGGAUCCAGAACCUGGACUGAAGAACCACCUAGAAAUAACUCAGCAGAAUUCUGAAAAUGAGGUCACGCUGGGUAAGAAUGCCUUUUUUUUUUUUUCAUAGUCAAAGUUAGCUAUGGAGUUUCUGUAGUAUUCACUACUCCAGACCUUUUUCAAGUUGAAUUUUUUUUCUUUUUCCCUAUGUCUGUUCUUACGUAUUUUUUUUAAACUUUUAUUUCAGUAGUGUUUGGGGAACAAGUAGUGUUUGGUUGCAUGGAAAAGUUCUUCAGUGGUGAUUUCUGAGAUUUUGGUGCACCCAUCACCCAAGGGUAGUCUUUUUUAUCCAUCAAGUCUGUACCCAAUGUGUAGUCUUUGUUUUUUUCUUUUUUUUUUUUUUGAGACUGAGUCUCAUUCUAUCACCCAGGCUGGAGUGGAGUGGUAUGAUCUUGACUCACUGCAACAUCUGCCUCCCGG